CACCAGGCUCAGAGUUUUGCAAACCAAAGUUGGGGGAUGGCUAGCGUGGCCUCCCGGCAGUUCCUGUUGCAGACAGCUAGAAGCUACCACAGCACCCUCUGCAAUUUCAAAGGAGAAAGGGACUCAGCACAAAUGCCCAGCAGGAGAGAGUGGACAAAAUGGCUCUUGUCACCAAUGGAAUGCUCUACAGCAAUUCAAAAGAAAGAAACACCUCUACAUAUCGAUGGAAAUAAACAAAAACUAGGUGCAAUGUGGUGUCCUGGAUGAAUCCUGGAACAGAAGGAGAACAUACGAGGAGAAACUGUUAAAGUCCAAAUAAAUUCUGGAACUUU
Molecule: long non-coding RNA, 332 nt
Filed under: Homo sapiens (human)
Lineage: Eukaryota; Metazoa; Chordata; Mammalia; Primates; Hominidae
Description: HSALNT0387328
Source: RNAcentral